CCUACGGGAGGCAGCAGUAGGGAAUAUUGCUCAAUGGGGGAAACCCUGAAGCAGCAACGCCGCGUGGAGGAUGAAGGUUUUCGGAUUGUAAACUCCUUUUGUUAGAGAAGAUAAUGACGGUAUCUAACGAAUAAGCACCGGCUAACUCCGUGCCAGCAGCCGCGGUAAUACGGAGGGUGCAAGCGUUACUCGGAAUCACUGGGCGGAAAGAGCGCGUAGGCGGGAUAGCAAGUCAGAUGUGAAAUCCUAUGGCUUAACCAUAGAACUGCAUUUGAAACUGUUAUUCUAGAGUAUGGGAGAGGUAGGUGGAAUUCUUGGUGUAGGGGUAAAAUCCGUAGAGAUCAAGAGGAAUACUCGUUGCGAAGGCGACCUGCUAGAACAUAACUGACGCUGAUGCGCGAAAGCGUGGGGAGCAAACAGGAUUAGAUACCCUAGUAGUC
RNAcentral lists this ribosomal RNA (440 nucleotides) under uncultured bacterium. Its description in RNAcentral is "partial 16S ribosomal RNA". It matches the Rfam family "Bacterial small subunit ribosomal RNA", at positions 338 to 795 of the family's 1533-position model. The record is from RNAcentral.